AAUCCAUGCAUAGGACACUUUCAUAGCAAAUCUUUAAAUAUUUCACAUGCCUCAUACAAGCUUUCAUCUUCCAUAUGCUUGAAAGGAGUUAAAUUAUUUCGAAGCUU
Molecule: small nucleolar RNA, 107 nt
Organism: Hibiscus syriacus
Lineage: Eukaryota; Viridiplantae; Streptophyta; Magnoliopsida; Malvales; Malvaceae
Source: RefSeq, a predicted model, not a curated record